AGUGAACGCUGGCGGUAGGCCUAACACAUGCAAGUCGAACGGCAGCACAGGAGAGCUUGCUCUCUGGGUGGCGAGUGGCGGACGGGUGAGGAAUACAUCGGAAUCUACCUUUUCGUGGGGGAUAAUGUAGGGAAACUUACGCUAAUACCGCAUACGACCUACGGGUGAAAGUGGGGGACCGCAAGGCCUCACGCGAUUAG
Molecule: ribosomal RNA, 200 nt
Filed under: uncultured bacterium
Lineage: Bacteria
Description: partial 16S ribosomal RNA
Rfam family: Bacterial small subunit ribosomal RNA
Source: RNAcentral